CCUACGGGUGGCAGCAGUGGGGAAUAUUGGACAAUGGGCGAAAGCCUGAUCCAGCCAUGCCGCGUGUGUGAAGAAGGCCUUCGGGUUGUAAAGCACUUUCAGUGGGGAAGAAAGCCUUGGGGCUAAUACCCUCGAGGAAGGACAUCACCCACAGAAGAAGCACCGGCUAACUCCGUGCCAGCAGCCGCGGUAAUACGGAGGGUGCGAGCGUUAAUCGGAAUUACUGGGCGUAAAGCGCGCGUAGGCGGUCUGAUAAGCCGGUUGUGAAAGCCCCGGGCUCAACCUGGGAACGGCAUCCGGAACUGUCAGGCUAGAGUGCAGGAGAGGAAGGUAGAAUUCCCGGUGUAGCGGUGAAAUGCGUAGAGAUCGGGAGGAAUACCAGUGGCGAAGGCGGCCUUCUGGAUUGACACUGACGCUGAGGUGCGAAAGCGUGGGUAGCAAACAGGAUUAGAUACCCCUGUAGUC
RNAcentral lists this ribosomal RNA (465 nucleotides) under Vreelandella stevensii. RNAcentral's name for it is "partial 16S ribosomal RNA". It matches the Rfam family "Bacterial small subunit ribosomal RNA", at positions 338 to 795 of the family's 1533-position model. Lineage: Bacteria; Pseudomonadati; Pseudomonadota; Gammaproteobacteria; Oceanospirillales; Halomonadaceae. The record is from RNAcentral.